AAGUCGUAACAAGGUUUCCGUAGGUGAACCUGCGGAAGGAUCAUUAACACAAUCUGAAGAUUAAAACCUCUUCAAACUAACGUGAACUUAAACCAAUCGCCCUAUAAUUUAAUUUAUUAUAGGCAAUGAGAAUAGUAAUAAUUCAAUUGCACAUUUCAUUAUUGCUAUUGCAAUUAUUACUGUUCGAUCCAUAUUUUUACACCAUUAUAAUCCACAUUGUAGUUGACUUGUAAUUCUAUAUAUAGUCUGUCUUAGCUUGUUUGAAUUCUAUUUAAAUCUGCUUUAAUUUGCUAUAUAUGUAAUGUUAAUAUAAUAAACAUAAAACAAAAACAACUCUUAACAAUGGAUAUCUUGGUUCUCGU
Molecule: unclassified non-coding RNA, 362 nt
Filed under: fungal sp.
Lineage: Eukaryota; Fungi
Description: partial internal transcribed spacer region
Rfam family: Eukaryotic small subunit ribosomal RNA (bases 1-46)
Source: RNAcentral